This 628-nucleotide ribosomal RNA is filed under the name Kocuria sp. RNAcentral's name for it is "bacterial SSU rRNA". It matches the Rfam family "Bacterial small subunit ribosomal RNA", at positions 103 to 743 of the family's 1533-position model. The record is from RNAcentral. Lineage: Bacteria; Bacillati; Actinomycetota; Actinomycetes; Micrococcales; Micrococcaceae.
CGGGUGAGUAAUACGUGAGUAACCUGCCCUUGACUCUGGGAUAAGCCUGGGAAACUGGGUCUAAUACUGGAUACGACAUGUCACCGCAUGGUGGUGUGUGGAAAGGGUUUUACUGGUUUUGGAUGGGCUCACGGCCUAUCAGCUUGUUGGUGGGGUAAUGGCUCACCAAGGCGACGACGGGUAGCCGGCCUGAGAGGGUGACCGGCCACACUGGGACUGAGACACGGCCCAGACUCCUACGGGAGGCAGCAGUGGGGAAUAUUGCACAAUGGGCGAAAGCCUGAUGCAGCGACGCCGCGUGAGGGAUGACGGCCUUCGGGUUGUAAACCUCUUUCAGCACGGAAGAAGCGAAAGUGACGGUACGUGCAGAAGAAGCGCCGGCUAACUACGUGCCAGCAGCCGCGGUAAUACGUAGGGCGCAAGCGUUGUCCGGAAUUAUUGGGCGUAAAGAGCUCGUAGGCGGUUUGUCGCGUCUGCUGUGAAAGCCCGGGGCUUAACCCCGGGUGUGCAGUGGGUACGGGCAGACUUGAGUGCAGUAGGGGAGACUGGAAUUCCUGGUGUAGCGGUGAAAUGCGCAGAUAUCAGGAGGAACACCGAUGGCGAAGGCAGGUCUCUGGGCUGUUACUGA